RNAcentral lists this ribosomal RNA (482 nucleotides) under uncultured bacterium. Its description in RNAcentral is "partial 16S ribosomal RNA". It matches the Rfam family "Bacterial small subunit ribosomal RNA", at positions 30 to 507 of the family's 1533-position model. The record is from RNAcentral.
UGAACGCUGGCGGCAGGCCUAACACAGGCAAGUCGAGCGGAUGAAGGGAGCUUGCUCCUGGAUUCAGCGGCGGACGGGUGAGUAAUGCCUAGGAAUCUGCCUGGUAGUGGGGGAUAACGUCCGGAAACGGGCGCUAAUACCGCAUACGUCCUGAGGGAGAAAGUGGGGGAUCUUCGGACCUCACGCUAUCAGAUGAGCCUAGGUCGGAUUAGCUAGUUGGUGGGGUAAAGGCCUACCAAGGCGACGAUCCGUAACUGGUCUGAGAGGAUGAUCAGUCACACUGGAACUGAGACACGGUCCAGACUCCUACGGGAGGCAGCAGUGGGGAAUAUUGGACAAUGGGCGAAAGCCUGAUCCAGCCAUGCCGCGUGUGUGAAGAAGGUCUUCGGAUUGUAAAGCACUUUAAGUUGGGAGGAAGGGCAGUAAGUUAAUACCUUGCUGUUUUGACGUUACCAACAGAAUAAGCACCGGCUAACUUCGUG